CCUACGGGAGGCUGCAGUGGGGAAUAUUGCACAAUGGGCGAAAGCCUGAUGCAGCAACGCCGCGUGAGCGAUGAAGGCCUUCGGGUCGUAAAGCUCUGUCCUUAAGGAAGAUAAUGACGGUACGUGUGGAGGAAGCCCCGUCUAACUACGAGCCAGCGGCCGCGGUAAUAUGUCGGGGGCUAGGGUUAUCCGGAAUUACUGGGCGUAAAGGGUGCGUAGGUGGUUUCUUAGGUCAGAGGUGAAAGGCUACGGCUCAACCGUAGUAAGCCUUUGAAACUGGGGGACUUGAGUGCAGGAGAGGAGAGUGGAAUUCGUGGUGUAGCGGUGAAAUGCGUAGAUAUUAGGAGGAACACCAGUGGCGAAGGCGGCCUGCUGGACGGUGACUGACGCUGAGGCACGAAAGCGUGGGGAGCAAACAGGAUUAGAUACCCGUGUAGUC
RNAcentral lists this ribosomal RNA (439 nucleotides) under uncultured bacterium. RNAcentral describes it as "partial 16S ribosomal RNA". It matches the Rfam family "Bacterial small subunit ribosomal RNA", at positions 338 to 795 of the family's 1533-position model. The record is from RNAcentral.